CAAGUCAGUUUCUUUUGAAAUGCAGACCUGCCCCCGAGGAAGGCUGGAGGAUUAAGGCAAAUCCCUUUCUCUCUCUGGAACUCACCUUCCUGCUCUAUGAAAUGGGACAAUUCAAGAAGCCUUCCCCAACAAGAAUCUGAAUACAGACAAGAAAGAGUAAGUGAUGUGCUCAAAGUUACUCUGCUAGUCCACGGCACAGGGCAGACAGAAGGGCGGAAUGGUGACCGACCUGUGACCGCAGUGUGACAUCCAGGGAACAAGGAAAGAAGACCCAGCAUCCCCAACUUCACCUCCACAGCUCACAGUCCCGCCCCAGAUUCCAUCAGUACAAGAACAGACCAGCAGACAAAGCAGGGAGGAGUCA
Long non-coding RNA from Molossus molossus (Pallas's mastiff bat), 364 nucleotides. RefSeq lists it as uncharacterized. The transcript has 3 exons. The record is from RefSeq and is a predicted model, not a curated record. Lineage: Eukaryota; Metazoa; Chordata; Mammalia; Chiroptera; Molossidae.